CAGCAGGUCUCCAAGGUGAAUAGCCUUUGGUCUAUAGAAGAAUGUAGAUAAGGGAAGUCGGCAAAGCUGAUCCGUAACUUUGGGAUAAGGAUUGGCUCUGAAGACUGAGCUGGUCGGGCUUUGGUCUAAUGCAAGUUAUGCAUUGUCAUCAAGACUGGAUCUAGUGUUGUUAAAUUUUUGGAGCAAAGAUGUUAAUCUGUUACAUUAAAUGUGUGCUUGUUUAAGAACAAAAAGUUUAUGUUACAAAAGUGUAACAACUUUUGUAUACAUGACUUUUUUUUACCAACACACUAUUUUGAUGUACAGAUUGUCUUUGUUUUCGAUUUUUCAAUCAUCUAAUUCUGGACUUGUAUCUUUGCUAACCUGUAGAUAGCCUAAGCUAGACUUUUACAUUGUUACAAAAUGUGUGUAAUUAUGAUUAGGGUAAAACUUAAUUGUAAUGUAACACUUUUGGCACAAUAUAAGAUGUUGUUUCGGCCAGCAAAAAACAGUUGAAUCAGAACUGGCACGGACUUGGGGAAUCCGACUGUCUAAUUAAAACAAAGCAUUGCGAUGGCCGACAAUCGGUGUUGACGCAAUGUGAUUUCUG
Molecule: ribosomal RNA, 589 nt
Filed under: Demodex canis (dog follicle mite)
Lineage: Eukaryota; Metazoa; Arthropoda; Arachnida; Trombidiformes; Demodicidae
Description: partial 28S ribosomal RNA
Rfam family: Eukaryotic large subunit ribosomal RNA
Source: RNAcentral